GAUGAAGAACGCAGCGAAAUGCGAUAAGUAGUGUGAAUUGCAGAAUUCAGUGAAUCAUCGAAUCUUUGAACGCACAUUGCGCCCCUCGGUAUUCCGUGGGGCAUGCCUGUUCGAGCGUCAUUUAACCCCUCAAGCCUAGCUUGGUAUUGGGUGCUUGUCCCGCCUCUCGCGCGGCGACUCACCUCAAAGUCAUUGGCAGCCCGCAUCUCGCCGGCUGUGAGCGCAGCACAGACGCGCUCUUGGCAACGACGGAUCGGCUCUCCAAAAGCUUAUUUCAACCACUGACCUCGGAUCAGGUAGGGAUACCCGCUGAACUUAAGCAUAUCAAUAAGCGGAGGA
This 339-nucleotide unclassified non-coding RNA is filed under the name soil metagenome. RNAcentral describes it as "partial contains 5.8S ribosomal RNA, internal transcribed spacer 2, and large subunit ribosomal RNA". The stretch from base 1 to 120 matches the Rfam family "5.8S ribosomal RNA", at positions 35 to 154 of the family's 154-position model. The record is from RNAcentral.